Anopheles gambiae (African malaria mosquito) is the source of this 414-nucleotide long non-coding RNA. RefSeq lists it as uncharacterized. Lineage: Eukaryota; Metazoa; Arthropoda; Insecta; Diptera; Culicidae. The record is from RefSeq and is a predicted model, not a curated record. The transcript is spliced from 3 exons.
GUUGUAUUCAAGAAGGCUGGAUAAUUAAUUUCAAAUGCCGUUCGUUGUGUGUGCAACCACUGGCAACCGCAACGUCUACUACUUCGCACAGAGCGACAAGAUCGAACGAAGGCAACACUGCUGUGUGUAUGCUGCUGGUGCCAGACGAAUCUCCGACACGGUCAGUGGGUUAGGAAGCGCCGCGAAACUGCGAACGAAUCAUGAAUAAAGUUCCUUCAUUCGUCGGUCCUUUCCUGUCACUGCUUUUCAACGAUGCACGACUACCCCCCCGGUCGCCCCUUGCCUCAUGGAUCUACGAGCUAGCGCCACGCUAAAUACUGUUACGGUUGGUCAACCUUCGCGAAACCCGUGUGUCGAGUUAAGAGUGUUGAGUUUGUUCGUGUGCAAAAUACCGCGGCCGCGGCCACUUUCGGC